GACGAACGCUGGCGGCGUGGAUUAGGCAUGCAAGUCGAACGGUAUCAUCCUUUCGGGGGUGAGAGAGUGGCGAACUUGGUGAGUAACACGUAGGUUAUCUACCCUCAAGACGGGGACAACCCAGGGAAACUUGGGCUAAUACCGGAUGUGAGCAACUUUUAGUUGUUUGAAAGGUGGCGUAAGCUGUCGCUUGGGGAUGAGCCUGCGUCCUAUUAGUUAGUUGGUGAGGUAACGGCUCACCUAGGCAAUGAUAGGUAGGCGGCCUUAACGGGUGGUCGCCCACACUGGGAUUGAGAUACGGCCCAGACUCCUACGGGAGGCAGCAGUCGAGAAUAGUCUACAAUGGGUCGGAAGACUGAUAGUGCGACGCCGACGUGAACGAUGAAUCCCUUCGGGGUGUAAAGUUCUUUUAAUUGUGAGCAGUGCUUCUUAUAUUAACAGUAUGGGGAGAGGUAGAUAUUAGCAUAUGAAAUAGACAACGGCUAACUCCGUGCCAGCCAGCCGCGGUAAACUCGU
Molecule: ribosomal RNA, 516 nt
Filed under: uncultured bacterium
Lineage: Bacteria
Description: bacterial SSU rRNA
Rfam family: Bacterial small subunit ribosomal RNA
Source: RNAcentral